GCCAGCAGUCGCGGUAAUACGUAGAAGACUAGUGUUAUUCAUCUUUAAUUGGUUUAAAGGGUACCUAGACGGUAAAUCAAGCCAGUAAUACGGGACUAAUAUACUAGAGUUACUUACGAGGGGGUUUUAAAGUACUAAUGGUGUAGAGAUGAAAUUCUGUCAUACCUCGUUUCAAGAGAAACGUAACGGCACAGGUAUAGGCGAAAGCAUCCCCUUAUGUGAUAACUGACGUUGAAGGACGAAGGCUUUUUAUCGCGAACAGGAUUAGAUACCCCAGUAGUCAAAGCAGAAAAUGAUGAAUGUCAUAGAUUAGAUUAGAUUAGGUGACCUAUAUAGGUCUUUUGGAUCACGAUUAAUCCGCUAUCAGAAGUACAGAUACAUGAAAGUAUCUGUUUUACACACUAUUCUGUAAAUGAGCCUAGCAAUUUAUUCUAUAAAUGAAAGUGUAAGCAUUCCACCUCAAGAGUAAUUUGGCAACAUUGGAACUGAAAUCAUUAGACCGUUUCUGAAACCAGUAGUGAAGUAUGUUGUUUAAUUUGAUAAUCCGCAAAAAACCUUACCACAAUUUGAAUAUAUAUUGUUUUUCUUCAUAUCUUGUCUUGCAGAAGAUAAGAUUGAAGAAGAUAGAAGAUAUUUACAAGCGUUGCACGGCUGUCUUCAGUUAAUGUCGUGAGAUUCUGGUUAGUUCCUUAAAUUAACGUAAACCCUCACUUUAUUUUUAGAUAAAGUUGUUCUUUGCUAUAUUGGAUAAGAUAACAGGGACUAAGACAAGUCAUCAUGGCCUAAAUAUUGUGGGCUACAAACGUGCCACAUAGACCUUACAAAAGG
RNAcentral lists this ribosomal RNA (828 nucleotides) under Lecidea huxariensis. RNAcentral's name for it is "SSU rRNA". It matches the Rfam family "Bacterial small subunit ribosomal RNA", at positions 507 to 1246 of the family's 1533-position model. Lineage: Eukaryota; Fungi; Ascomycota; Lecanoromycetes; Lecideales; Lecideaceae. The record is from RNAcentral.